ACCCUCCUAACCCAUUUUAUGUGGUUUUUAUUAAAAUCCAACCCUCCCGGUGGCAGCUCUGACCUUCCCCGAUUCCCCUCUGGAGCACACACCUUCCGCACCCGCGCUCUCCCUGCGGGCAUCCCGCUUCCUGCGCGGCCGCGGAGCGGGGUCAGGCUCUGCCGGCACCUCUGCUGCACUUUUAGGGUGGUCAGUGUUAUUUCAGCGCUCAGGCGUUAAGAGAGAGCAAAGAGUAGAUUUUGUUGCAAAACCAGCACUCAGAGAAGGGCUGUGGCCUCAGUGUCAUUUCUCCUUUCCACCCAGCUCAGCAGCAAUGUUUUCAGUCAAGAAUGGUGAUGGACACGGGGUAUCAACUACAGGGGCUCUCACGAACUUCCCAAUAACAAACCAGGUUUGUGUCCAAUUCACUCUGGAUUUGAACUGGUUGAAAUUCUUUGAAAAUCUGCUUUGAAUGCUGCCAGUGAGAAUAAACUUCGCAGUUGAGGAUUAUUGACA
This 495-nucleotide long non-coding RNA is filed under the name Zonotrichia albicollis (white-throated sparrow). RNAcentral describes it as "lncRNA (ENSZALG00000005713.1)". The record is from RNAcentral. Lineage: Eukaryota; Metazoa; Chordata; Aves; Passeriformes; Passerellidae.